Molecule: long non-coding RNA, 1842 nt
Organism: Ficedula albicollis (Collared flycatcher)
Lineage: Eukaryota; Metazoa; Chordata; Aves; Passeriformes; Muscicapidae
Source: Ensembl
GAAGCUAAAAGCAAGCCUCUGCUUGGACAAAAACAUACUUAUGCUAAAACCAUUUGUUUAAAAAACAUUUAAACUUAUGAGUUCAAUCACAAUAAACUGAAGUCCUUCAGAAAGUCAUUGAAGUUCUCCACGGUUAUACAAACAGAGUAGACUGUGAUUCUCCAAUCAGAUAUACAUCUGCCUAAAGGAACGUUGACUUUAAGCAGUGUUUAUGGGGCUUUCUCAAAUACUUGCCAAUGGUUUUACUAACCUUCUCCUCCAGAUGUGAAUUAUGAUUUCACAUAGGAUAAUACAGGUAAUUUCAUCAUUUGAUAGUGCCCUCCAGAAUUUAUUCUAUCCCUCCUCAAUGCCUCUUUGUACACCUCACUUUAAAAGUGAGAACAUUAAUCUCAUCACCUCAAACCUUGCUACUUUUUUUGCUACAGAAAUUCCAUCUUUCUUUGAGGAUCUGUGUAUAUAUACAUAUUUUUUUUUUUUUUUUUCAGAUCUGAAGAAUCACUGUAGUUUGGGUGUGGGGAGAUGGCCUCUAUCCAGACAAACAUAUACAGCCCUGACUCAGCAGCAUGUACAGCCCAGCCAACAAUCAAGUACUGGAUCUACCUUCUGAGUUGAUGGUACUGAACUGCAGUGUAAGAACUAAAAACCCAAAGCAUUUUAUUGCAUGAAAUCAUAAGAAAGAAAACCGUAUCACAGCUGAGUACAGUGAUAAUUUCUUCUGCCUUAUUUUACACUAAAAGUAAAUAUCAUACAUGAUUGACACAGAUCUACUUGCAUGCAGAGGUAAGAAGACACAGCACAUGAAGGUGGUUUCCAUCCCCAUGCUCAGAUAGCCCAUGUACUUUGUUCCUGCAGUGGGGAAGGUGAGCUGUCACACAUCUCAGUAAGCUUCAGAUACCUCACAGUCCGUGAGCUGAACACACCCCCACAGGACUUCUGGAGCUUCAGUCUUGCUGCCAGGCUGCCCACAGCCCUCCCUCAGCAGCUGGCUGCGUUAGCUGUUCCCAGCAGCGUGGUGGGACCAGUCCUGCAAGCACAGGGAGGGUGAGCGCUGGGGCGGUGCUGCGGCGGGCCAGCAGGAUGCUGCUCUCAUCAUGUGGCCUGUCCUUGUCAAACCAGUUGUGCCACUGGCAUUGCUACCACUCUUCCUCUUAUCCUGGUUUGCUACUUUCUCCACUCUUCAAAUAGUUACCCUUUGUUGGCCUUAUUGAGCCUUCCCAUCUUUCUUCUGCUCCCAGCUUUGCCAUUAAUGUCUUUCAUAACAAACACAGACAGAGAAACAAACCUGUCAUUUAUUUUUGUGCCCAUAUACCUUGUUGCCCAUCCUCUUAAGUGCAUUCUUUCAAUGAAAUUUAAUUUAGCAGCUGCAGCUGUACUCAUUGCUUAAAAUAAAUAUAUUAAGAGGUGUAGAAAAUGGUCAGGUAUUCAAGGAAAGUGCUUGCACUUAUGCUUGCUGCUGACAUUUGCAGUGCUCUUUAAGAGGCCUGAGCUGUUGCCAUAUGUUUCUGCAGGAUAAAAUGACUUAAGAUUCUAUUUUGGUCUCUAAUUUCUAUCAUUAAAUGAACAUCUCUGGUAACACUGAGAUGGAACUUCAAGUUUCCAAUGCAUUUUCCAAAAGGAAUAGGAGAUAACCCAAGUGUCUAGUGUUAGAGUCACAGCAUCAGGACUGGAGAUGAGCCAACACUAAAGUCUGUGUGGCAGCUGUCUCUACCUAAGCAAGUUGACUUAAUGCUCAGUGAGCUGAAGUUUAAGAACAACUUUCCAUGGAACUAUUGAGAUGCUUUAAGAAAGGCACAUAACUAGAAGUUAGCAAGCUUUUUCCCCCCCCCCCCCCCCCCCCCCCCC